AAGCACCGGCUAACUACGUGCCAGCAGCCGCGGUAAUACGUAGGGGUGCGAGCGUUAAUCGGGAAUUACUGGGCGUAAAGCGUGCGCAGGCGGUUUGGUAAGUCAGAUGUGAAAUCCCCCGGGGCUCAACCUGGGGAACUGCAUUUGAGACUGCCAAGCUGGAGUUUGGCAGAGGGGGGGUGGAAUUCCACGUGUAGCAGUGAAAUGCGUAGAGAUGUGGAGGAACACCGAUGGCGAAGGCAGCCCCCUGGGCCAAUACUGACGCUCAUGCACGAAAGCGUGGGGAGCAAACAGGAUUAGAUACCCUGGUAGUCCACGCCCUAAACGAUGUCAACUAGGUGUUGGGAGGGUUAAACCUUUUAGUGCCGUAGCUAACGCGUGAAGUUGACCGCCUGGGGAGUACGGCCGCAAGGCUAAAACUCAAAGGAAUUGACGGGGGA
RNAcentral lists this ribosomal RNA (440 nucleotides) under uncultured bacterium. Its description in RNAcentral is "bacterial SSU rRNA". It matches the Rfam family "Bacterial small subunit ribosomal RNA", at positions 488 to 920 of the family's 1533-position model. The record is from RNAcentral.